Molecule: non-coding RNA, 1131 nt
Filed under: Volvox carteri f. nagariensis
Lineage: Eukaryota; Viridiplantae; Chlorophyta; Chlorophyceae; Chlamydomonadales; Volvocaceae
Description: Eukaryotic large subunit ribosomal RNA
Rfam family: Eukaryotic large subunit ribosomal RNA
Source: Rfam by way of RNAcentral
CGACCUGAGCUCAGGCAAGGUUACNCGCUGAACUUAAGCAUAUCAUUAAGCGGUGGAAAAGAAACUAACCAGGAUUCCCCUAGUAACGGCGAGCGAACCGGGAAUAGCCCAACUUGAAAAUCUCCCCUUGGAGAAUUGUAGUCUACAGAAGCGCCCUCAUGGGCUGGCGGAACUCAAGUCGGAUCGAAUGCCGCGUCAGAGAGGGUGAUAACCCCGUCGGUUCCUGCCUAGUCCUCUCACGAGGUGCUUUCCACGAGUCGGGUUGUUUGGGAAUGCAGCCCUAAUUUGGAGGUAAAUCCCUUCUAAGGCUAAAUACUGCUGAGAGACCGAUAGCGAACAAGUACCGUGAGGGAAAGAUGAAAAGAACUUUGAAAAGAGAGUUAAAAGUGCUUGAAAUUGUUGAGAGGGAAGCGAUUAGCGCUUGUGUGUGCCCCCAGGCUUAAGUGUGCCUAACGGCCCAUUGAAUGUGCUGGGUGCUGGUCAGAGUGGGUUGUCUUGGCGGGAAAACAGUUGGGUCCACCCCGGUAACCCGGCCGAUGCCGCCGAGAUGACCAAGGCGUGAAGGUUGCUUUGUCCUUCGGGAUCCGCAUCCUAAAGACUCUGGCAGAAAAGCGUUAAUCGACCCGUCUUGAAACACGGACCAAGGAGUCUAACAUGUAUGCGAGUUGGCGGGUUGAAAACCCGUAAGCGCAAGUAACCUGACUGGUGGGAUGGCCUGUGCCUGCACCAUCGACCGACCAUGUUGCUUUUGCGAAAGGUUUGAGUGCGAGCAUACCUGUUGGGACCCGAAAGAUGGUGAACUAUGCCUGAGCAGGGUGAAGCCAGAGUAACCUCUGGUGGAGGCUCGUAGAUGUGCUGACGUGCAAAUCGCUUUUCAGACUUGGGUAUAGGGGCGAAAGACUAAUCGAACCAUCUAGUAGCUGGUUCCCUCCGAAGUUUCCCCCAGGAUAGCUGGAGCUUGAUCAGUUUUAUCGGGUAAAGCGAAUGAUUAGAGGUUCGGGGGAUGAAACAUCCUUCACCUAUUCUCAAACUUUAAAUAGGUAAGACGUGUCGGUUGCUUAACUGAACCGUCACAUUCAAUGUGAGCUCCAAGUGGGCCAUUUUUGGUAAGCAGAACUGGCGAUGCGGGAU